Molecule: ribosomal RNA, 558 nt
Filed under: uncultured bacterium
Lineage: Bacteria
Description: bacterial SSU rRNA
Rfam family: Bacterial small subunit ribosomal RNA
Source: RNAcentral
GGCGGCGUGGAUAAGACAUGCAAGUCGAACGGGAGUUUGCUGGUAGCAAUAUUAGUGAACUCUAGUGGCGAAAGGGUGCGUAACACGUAGCUACCUACCUCGAAGUUGGGGAUAGCUCGGCGAAAGCCGGAUUAAUACCGAAUGUGACUGUAAGGUCAAAGCUGGGGAUCGUAAGACCUGGCGCUUUGAGAUGGGGCUGCGGCCUAUCAGGUUGUUGGCGGGGUAAUGGCCCACCAAGCCUAAGACGGGUAGCUGGUCUGAGAGGACGACCAGCCACACUGGAACUGAGACACGGUCCAGACACCUACGGGUGGCAGCAGUCGAGGAUUUUUCUCAAUGGGGGAAACCCUGAAGGAGCGACGCCGCGUGAGGGAUGAAGGUCUUCGGAUUGUAAACCUCUGUCAUCUGGGAACAAUGUGAUCUACCUAACACGUGGAUUAUUGAUAGUACCGGAAGANGAAGCAGUGGCUAACUCUGUGCCAGCAGCCGCGGUAAUACAGAGACUGCAAGCGUUGUUCGGAUUCAUUGGGCGUAAAGGGUGCGCAGGCGGUUCGUUAA